RNAcentral lists this small RNA (77 nucleotides) under Flavobacterium anhuiense. Its description in RNAcentral is "Flavo-1 RNA". It matches the Rfam family "Flavo-1 RNA". The record is from RNAcentral. Lineage: Bacteria; Pseudomonadati; Bacteroidota; Flavobacteriia; Flavobacteriales; Flavobacteriaceae.
CCCUAGCCCUGAUGGGAGGGAAAAUCCUUUUGUGCCGGGGUUCGGCAUAAAAGAUUGGAAGGACAGUAGGAAAUAGC